AUCCUAUAAAUAUUUUAGUAUAUUUGACUUCCAAUCAAAAGGGCCACCUAAAGCUGGAUAGGAUA
RNAcentral lists this transfer RNA (65 nucleotides) under Allopsontus sp. 1 JZ-2014. RNAcentral's name for it is "tRNA-Gly". The record is from RNAcentral. Lineage: Eukaryota; Metazoa; Arthropoda; Insecta; Archaeognatha; Machilidae.